CCCUUAGAUGUUCUGGGCCGCACGCGCGCUACACUGACGAAGUCAGCGAGCAUGUCCUACGCCGACAGGUGCGGGGAAUCUUGUCAAACUUCGUCGUGAUGGGGAUUGAUUAUUGAAAUUCUUGAUCAUCAACGAGGAAUUCCUAGUAAGCGCAAGUCAGCAGCUUGCGUUGAUUACGUCCCUGCCCUUUGUACACACCGCCCGUCGCUACUACCGAUUGAAUGGCUUAGUGAGAUCUUCGGAUUGGCGCCACUGCGGCUCAGCAAUGGGCUCGGUGGAUGCCGAAAAGUUGAUCAAACUUGAUCAUUUAGAGGAAGUAAAAGUCGUAACA
Molecule: ribosomal RNA, 331 nt
Filed under: uncultured eukaryote
Lineage: Eukaryota
Description: partial 18S ribosomal RNA
Rfam family: Eukaryotic small subunit ribosomal RNA
Source: RNAcentral